CUUGAUCGAGCCCAGCCACAGCGGCCGGUCGCCGGGGCGGUUCUGCCCGUACGUCGCCAGCAGCGCCUGCGCCUC
RNAcentral lists this antisense RNA (75 nucleotides) under Actinoplanes sp. N902-109. RNAcentral describes it as "ASpks TB sRNA". It matches the Rfam family "ASpks TB sRNA". The record is from Rfam by way of RNAcentral. Lineage: Bacteria; Bacillati; Actinomycetota; Actinomycetes; Micromonosporales; Micromonosporaceae.